AUUUGUUGGGCGGCGAGCGGCGGACGGGUGAGUAAUGCUUGGGAAUAUGCCUUAUGGUGGGGGACAACAGUUGGAAACGACUGCUAAUACCGCAUGAUGUCUACGGACCAAAGUGGGGGACCUUCGGGCCUCACGCCAUAAGAUUAGCCCAAGUGGGAUUAGCUAGUUGGUGAGGUAAUGGCUCACCAAGGCGACGAUCCCUAGCUGGUUUGAGAGGAUGAUCAGCCACACUGGGACUGAGACACGGCCCAGACUCCUACGGGAGGCAGCAGUGGGGAAUAUUGCACAAUGGGCGCAAGCCUGAUGCAGCCAUGCCGCGUGUGUGAAGAAGGCCUUCGGGUUGUAAAGCACUUUCAGUAAGGAGGAAAGGUUAAGUGUUAAUAGCACUUAGCUGUGACGUUACUUACAGAAGAAGCACCGGCUAACUCCGUGCCAGCAGCCGCGGUAAUACGGAGGGUGCGAGCGUUAAUCGGAAUUACUGGGCGUAAAGCGUACGCAGGCGGUCUGUUAAGCGAGAUGUGAAAGCCCCGGGCUCAACCUGGGAACUGCAUUUCGAACUGGCAAACUAGAGUGUGAUAGAGGGUGGUAGAAUUUCAGGUGUAGCGGU
This 607-nucleotide ribosomal RNA is filed under the name uncultured Pseudoalteromonas sp. Its description in RNAcentral is "bacterial SSU rRNA". It matches the Rfam family "Bacterial small subunit ribosomal RNA", at positions 78 to 682 of the family's 1533-position model. Lineage: Bacteria; Pseudomonadati; Pseudomonadota; Gammaproteobacteria; Alteromonadales; Pseudoalteromonadaceae. The record is from RNAcentral.